GACGAACGCUGGCGGCGUGCUUAACACAUGCAAGUCGAACGGAAAGGCCCCUUUGGGGGUACUCGAGUGGCGAACGGGUGAGUAACACGUGAGUAACCUGCCCUUGACUUCGGGACAACUUCAGGAAACUGGGGCCAAUACCGGAUAGGAAUCCUUGCUGCAUGGUGGGGGUUGGAAAGUUUCGGCGGUUUUGGAUGGACCCGCGGCGUAUCAGCUUGUUGGUGGGGUAGUGGCUUACCAAGGCUUUGACGGGUAGCCGGCCUGAGAGGGCGACCGGCGACAUUGGCACUGAGAUGCGGCCCAGACUCCGACGGGAGGCAGCAGUGGGGAAUAUUGAAGAAUGGGCGGAGGCCUGAUGCAGAAACGCCGCGGGCGGGAUGACGGCCUUCGGGUUGUAAACCGCUUUCAGCAGGAGCGAAGCUUGUGGUGACGGUACCUGCAGAAGAAGCACCGGCUAACUACGUG
This 465-nucleotide ribosomal RNA is filed under the name uncultured bacterium. RNAcentral describes it as "partial 16S ribosomal RNA". It matches the Rfam family "Bacterial small subunit ribosomal RNA", at positions 28 to 507 of the family's 1533-position model. The record is from RNAcentral.